RNAcentral lists this ribosomal RNA (253 nucleotides) under uncultured bacterium. RNAcentral describes it as "partial 16S ribosomal RNA". It matches the Rfam family "Bacterial small subunit ribosomal RNA", at positions 524 to 776 of the family's 1533-position model. The record is from RNAcentral.
GACGAACCGUGCAAACGUUAUUCGGAAUCACUGGGCAUAAAGGGCGCGUAGGCGGCUUUCUAAGUCAGGGGUGAAAUCCGGCAGCUCAACUGUCGCAGUGCCUUUGAUACUGGAGAGCUCGAGGGAGGUAGGGGUCUGUGAAACUUCCGGUGGAGCGGUGAAAUGCGUUGAUAUCGGAAGGAACGCCGGUGGCGAAAGCGACGGACUGGAUCUCUUCUGACGCUGAGGCGCGAAAGCCAGGGGAGCAAACGGG